AUACGGAGGGUCCGAACGUUAAUCGGAAUUACUGGGCGUAAAGCGCGCGUAGGCGGAUAUUUAAGUCAGAUGUGAAAUCCCUGGGCUCAACCUAGGAACUGCAUUUGAAACUGGAUAUCUAGAGUAUGCUAGAGGUGAGUGGAAUUUCAGGUGUAGAGGUGAAAUGCGUAGAGAUCUGAAGGAACAGCAGUGGCGAAGGCGACUCACUGGGCCAUUACUGACGCUGAGGUGCGAAAGCGUGGGUAGCAAACAGGAUUAGAAACCCUAGUAGUCC
Molecule: ribosomal RNA, 274 nt
Filed under: uncultured bacterium
Lineage: Bacteria
Description: partial 16S ribosomal RNA
Rfam family: Bacterial small subunit ribosomal RNA
Source: RNAcentral